This 259-nucleotide ribosomal RNA is filed under the name Dickeya dadantii. RNAcentral describes it as "partial 16S ribosomal RNA". It matches the Rfam family "Bacterial small subunit ribosomal RNA", at positions 524 to 782 of the family's 1533-position model. The record is from RNAcentral. Lineage: Bacteria; Pseudomonadati; Pseudomonadota; Gammaproteobacteria; Enterobacterales; Pectobacteriaceae.
UACGGAGGAUCCGAGCGUUAUCCGGAUUUAUUGGGUUUAAAGGGUGCGUAGGUGGUUUGAUAAGUCAGCGGUGAAAGUUUGCAGCUUAACUGUAAAAAUGCCGUUGAAACUGUCGGACUUGAGUGUAAAUGAGGUAGGCGGAAUGCGUGGUGUAGCGGUGAAAUGCAUAGAUAUCACGCAGAACCCCGAUUGCGAAGGCAGCUUACCGGCGCUCAACUGACGCUGAGGCACGAAAGUGCGGGGAUCAAACAGGAUUAGA